Molecule: ribosomal RNA, 465 nt
Filed under: uncultured marine group I thaumarchaeote
Lineage: Archaea; Thermoproteati; Nitrososphaerota
Description: bacterial SSU rRNA
Rfam family: Archaeal small subunit ribosomal RNA
Source: RNAcentral
ACUAGUGAAUAAGGGGUGGGCAAGUUCUGGUGUCAGCCGCCGCGGUAAAACCAGCACCUCAAGUGGUCAGGAGGAUUAUUGGGCCUAAAGCAUCCGCAGCUUGCUCUGUAAGUUUUCGGUUAAAUCUAUAUGCUCAACGUAUAGGCUGCCGAAAAUACUGCAGUGCUAGGAAGUGGGAGAGGUAGACGGUACUUGAUAGGAAGGGGUAAAAUCCUUUGAUCUAUCGAUGACCACCUGUGGCGAAGGCGGUCUACCAGAACACGUUCGACGGUGAGGGAUGAAAGCUGGGGGAGCAAACCGGAUUAGAUACCCGGGUAGUCCCAGCUGUAAACGAUGCAGACUCGAUGAUGCAUUGGCAUAUAGCCAGUGCAGUGUCGCAGGGAAGCCGUUCAGUCUGCCGCCUGGGAAGUACGUACGCAAGUAUGAAACUUAAAGGAAUUGGCGGGGGAGCACCCCAAGGGGUGA